CCAUCUUCCGCGCGUUGCCCGUCGCCCAGGGAGACCGGCGCUUUCACGACGGCCGCGGUGCGGUUUACGGCUCCUCUUCCGGUUGGCUCCUUACACAACUUUAUCGGCAGCUCCGGGCACGGACAGGAUACAUCCGGGGUUUCCAGAACAGGUGCCGGAGAGGUCUGCAGCUCAAGCCGGAACUGCCUGCAGGCCACUGUGAGUUUCACUAAAGUAGUCCAUGAUCUUGCUGCCUCCACGUCCACGAAGUAUGGCCAGGCAGCCUGCAGAGCCUCUGGACCAGCACCAGCCUCUGCCAUGAGCACACGUCCUAGAUAAAGCCUGCAGAGUCACAAUCAGAUGGACCAGACAGAAGGAAAAGAGCUGAAAGACCUGCAGGACAGUGAUGCAUGUCACCAGGGUUCUAGAAAAAGAGGAGGAAGAACGUGGGCUGAAGAUACAGUUAGAAAUAAUGGCUGAAACCGCCCCAGAUCUGUGCCUGUGAAACAGACUCUCGGAGAGACCAAAUCCUGGGCCAAUGGAAAGGAUCGAAAUCAUACAGGGUAUGUCCUUCAAUGAAAAUGGAAUCACACUGAAAAUCAGCAGAGGACCAGAAGAGCUUCAAAUGUGGAAUUUCAACAACACGGUUCGACCCAGAAACGAAGGAACGAACUGCGGAUAGACAGGACGGCCUGGCGACUGUAGGGAAUUAUGCCAAGUCAGAUGAUCGCUGAAGGGGGACUGUAGCAUGACUCCAUGUACAUGAUGUUCAUGACAAACAGCUUCGUGUUCUCUGGGGUCAGGGGUGGGGCUAGGUGUGCAUAAAUGCAGCUAUAGAGCAGCUGCAUAAUAAAUGCAGCUAUAGAGCAGCUGAGUGUGGUGAUAGACGGUAUUUAGGUGUCUUGGUGAUGAUGGUGGCUGGACAGACAUUUAGGUGUUUUUUUUUUUUUAAGAUUGAUUGAUUGAUUGAUUGAUUAGAGUGUGAGUUG
Molecule: long non-coding RNA, 968 nt
Organism: Mustela lutreola (European mink)
Lineage: Eukaryota; Metazoa; Chordata; Mammalia; Carnivora; Mustelidae
Exons: 4
Source: RefSeq, a predicted model, not a curated record